AGUCUGACGGAGCAACGCCGCGUGAGUGAUGAAGGUUUUCGGAUCGUAAAACUCUGUUGUUAGGGAAGAACAAGUACCGUUCGAAUAGGGCGGCACCUUGACGGUACCUAACCAGAAAGCCACGGCUAACUACGUGCCAGCAGCCGCGGUAAUACGUAGGUGGCAAGCGUUGUCCGGAAUUAUUGGGCGUAAAGCGCGCGCAGGCGGUUUCUUAAGUCUGAUGUGAAAGCCCCCGGCUCAACCGGGGAGGGUCAUUGGAAACUGGGGAACUUGAGUGCAGAAGAGGAGAGUGGAAUUCCACGUGUAGCGGUGAAAUGCGUAGAGAUGUGGAGGAACACCAGUGGCGAAGGCGACUCUCUGGUCUGUAACUGACGCUGAGGCGCGAAAGCGUGGGGAGCGAACAGGAUUAGAUACCCUGGUAGUCCACGCCGUAAACGAUGAGUGCUAAGUGUUAGAGGGUUUCCGCCCUUUAGUGCUGCAGCAAACGCAUUAAGCACUCCGCCUGGGGAGUACGGUCGCAAGACUGAAACUCAAAGGAAUUGACGGGGGCCCGCACAAGCGGUGGAGCAUGUGGUUUAAUUCGAAGCAACGCGAAGAACCUUACCAGGUCUUGACAUCCUCUGACAACCCUAGAGAUAGGGCUUCCCCUUCGGGGGCAGAGUGACAGGUGGUGCA
Molecule: ribosomal RNA, 675 nt
Filed under: Bacillus licheniformis
Lineage: Bacteria; Bacillati; Bacillota; Bacilli; Caryophanales; Bacillaceae
Description: bacterial SSU rRNA
Rfam family: Bacterial small subunit ribosomal RNA
Source: RNAcentral